AAAUUUGGGCUUCCAGUUUGGGCUACAGUUUGGGCUAGCUUGUGUUACAAUUGUCAAUUGGGGAAUUUGGUUACGAGAAGUUUUGAGAAAAAAAACGAAAUUUCUCUGGUGAAUUUAUUUGACAAUUUUAAGAAGUUAAAAAGUGUUUACUUUCUACGGGCUGCAAGUUUUUGGGGUCUUGCCCGUAGCUUUUGUAAAGUUUGGAUUGCACUCUCAUGUUUUAACUUAAUAUAAAUAUCUCCUGCGUUGCGUUAAAAUAAAAUAAAAAGUGUUUGAUUAAGGUUUGGAAGAUAGUGAUUAUGUUUUGUUCAUCUUAGGAUUUUUUGUGAUUUACCACCUAAAAAACAAAAUUUGUGUUUUACCACCUUAAAAUCUCAAAAUUUUAAAUUACCACCUAAGGUUCUUGCUGCUCCUUCUUGCUGCUCCUUCUUGCUUCUUCCAAUCUUCAUGUAAAUCACAAAUUUUCAUCACAAAACUUGAAAUUGAUUGAGGGGUUUCAUUAAUUUUUAAUUUUCGAGCAAUUUGGUGGGCGAAAGAAGAAGAAUCAAGGUACAAUUAGGAUCGAGCUAUGUCUACAUUGAAUUUUUCACCUUCAAAAGAGAAAAAAUGUGGCUGUUGAUUCGUAUUAUCCAUUACAUUGCAUAAUUCACACCAAAUAUGUGGCUUUUGUGCGUUUGUGUGGUGAAAUACAGAAAUUGGUGGUGAUGAAUUGAAGAGCAGUAAAGAGAAAGAAUGAAAGGGAGAGCAGCAUUAAAGAUGAGGUAUAAUUGCAGUAAUGAAGAAGAACGUAGGAACGCAGUUAGGGCUAGGUAGAAUUGCAGUAAAGAGAAAGAACGUAGGAACUAGGAACGCAGUUAGGGCUAAUAGUUUGGAGGGAAAUUUAAUUGAUGGCCCCCGCUUGACGGAAAUGUUAACGGAUCUGUUAAGAGGUGGUGAAAAACAAAAACAAAAAAAAAUUUAGGUGGUAAUUUAAAUUUUUGAGAUUUUAAGGUGGUAAAACACAAAUUUUGUUUUUUUAA
Molecule: long non-coding RNA, 1019 nt
Organism: Spinacia oleracea (spinach)
Lineage: Eukaryota; Viridiplantae; Streptophyta; Magnoliopsida; Caryophyllales; Amaranthaceae
Exons: 2
Source: RefSeq, a predicted model, not a curated record